CUUGAAAAUUUCGAGUGACAAUCUCGUACCUCAUGAUUUACGUCCUGAUCAUACGGGAUUGCACCAACUAUUUGCCAACUGAAGAUCCAACUCUCCGCUAUAAAGGAGACUCAAAGAAGACCUCCAGAAAGGUACAUCAUUAUUCUGUCUUUCAUGCUCCUCCUUCUGUUGAACAAGAGUUCUGAUUUGAGCGUCGGAGGAUUCUCACCGGAGCCAUCUCUGGUUAAGAAUUUUGUGCAAGUCAUGCCCCCGGGAGACCAGCCUCACCAUCGGCUCCAGCAUCUCGACACCUGACAAAUUCUUGCACCCAUACCUAGUGCUUUCUUUUAUGAAAUUUAACCAUUAUAAGGAGUCCUCACUUUUCAUGGAUUGUAAGAACAUCUCGAGGUUAUAUUUUUUUUCUCUAUAUUAGUCAGAUACACUACAUAAUCUAGAAGUAUAGUAUAUUUUCUUAUUCUAAUAGAUCUUCAAAGAGUUGUCCCUUGAUCCGCUUGUAGUGAUUGCUAGAUAGUAGCUUCUUUGAUAAUAGUAACCUUAUGGAGUGAAACUUGAUAAAGUAGUAAUUCCUUCUAAAUAUUAUUUCAAAAAAUAACU
RNAcentral lists this long non-coding RNA (594 nucleotides) under Elaeis guineensis (African oil palm). Its description in RNAcentral is "long non-coding RNA (EGUI_LNC075785)". The record is from RNAcentral. Lineage: Eukaryota; Viridiplantae; Streptophyta; Magnoliopsida; Arecales; Arecaceae.